Long non-coding RNA from Carya illinoinensis, 3463 nucleotides. RefSeq lists it as uncharacterized. The record is from RefSeq and is a predicted model, not a curated record. The transcript has 2 exons. NCBI's taxonomy places the organism in Eukaryota, Viridiplantae, Streptophyta, Magnoliopsida, Fagales, Juglandaceae.
AUCACAUUAACUUACAUUAAUUUAUAAAAUUACUUCAAUGAAAUUCAUUUUAUGGAUGAAAAAUUUCUUUUCUUUUAAUAAAAACACAUUAGAGCACCCCCGUCAAGUUUCUCAUAUCUCCCCUAUCCUCAAAAUUUAGGAAAAAUUUUAGGGUUUAACCCAAAAACCCCACUGCAUCCGAUUCCUUAUUAUGUGGUUGCCGUUUACGAUCUGUAUAGGGUUUUCCCAUAUUUGCAAUUUUAUUGUACGUCCCCAUCCCCAACAAACCCCAAUCAGUUUCCCCUUCUCCCGCAUCUUCUUCUCCGUCGGUUGGCCCCCCUUUUUCUGUUCGCAUCUCCAUCGGUACGAAAGCUCUCCAAGCUUGUAAGUUUCCGUUUAAAAUCUUUGUGAUUUCUGUUGAUUGUUUAUCUGGUUCUCUAUUUAGGAUUUUUCAUUGAGAUUGGCCACGACGCCAUGACCGAUUUCUCUUCUUCUCAAGUUUUUGAGGGAUCUUUUUCGAAUUGAAAAAUUAACGGCCGAGCUAGAUCUUGGACUAAAUAUUCUUUCACAAGUAUGAAUCUCGAUUGAUAGUUGAAGAUUUGGGAUUUUUUGGAUUUGGCUGAAUUCCUUUAUCCUUGGUCCGAAUCCUUGCAUCAUGAUUUCUGAUGUUUUGGAGAUUUAUUUGAUGGAAAUCUUUAUGCUCUCUAUUUUAAUCGUAUUAUUGUUCACUUAUUGCAUUUGAAUACCUUGCGAAAUCUAUUCGGUUGUUAUUUUGGUAUCUCUGUGCAUUUUCGAUUGUUUGGAUUUUGGUAUCUCUGUAAUUGUGAGAUUGUGAGAAAUUAUAAGAAAUCUGUUUGGGACUUUUCUGAUUGUUGUUUCAAUUAUUUUCAAUAUGCAUAAAUUUUUAGAACACCGUUAUGUAGAAUUUGUAGUUACUUUUCCAUAAACUGUCAAUGCUUUUUUGGUUGAGAAAAUGCCACAAUUGUCAGCUAUUACCACGGGAGUCUUGCCUGAUUUCUAUUUUGCAUAUUUCUCAUUUUAUUGUAAAUGUACAAAGAUAGAUCAUCAGCUAUUGCUAGGACAGAUCUUCUGUGAGGCUCCCUCGUGGGCCCAUAAUUGUUUCUUGGUUGGAAUUUUUCACUUCUUUUAUUGUUUUCAUUUUUGUUGUUCUCAUUUUGUCCCCUUUCAUUGGUAUUAUUUUGGUGGAUUGCCACCAUUGAUGGCCAUGAGACUGAUUUCUGUUACAGGUCCCAUUCCCAAAACUGUAACUUGUUCGGUUAUUAAAAAAAAUCUGUUAUGUACUGUGAUGUAUAGACAUUGAAAGAGGCAGAAAAUUCUUUUGAAUGAUCUUCCAUAUCUAUGAUUUAAUGAAAGGCCCAUAUACUAUUGUGUAGGGAUAUUUUUUUGUACUUUUUAGUUGGUAUUAUUUUGCCGAUAAGCCAUUUAAUAUUUUAUAAAAUACUUCAAUAUGGUUUGAAACUAGUAUAACACAUUGGUUGUUAGUAUCAAUAAUGUGUGCACUGCCUCAUAACAAGGUUUUCAAGAAUAGAUUCUUUUAUCAAAAUGGAACUUGAUGAGUUGGUCUAAUCACAUAUUCAUUGGUCUAACCUUUUGUCACUUUGCUGUUCCUUAACUAUAAUAUUACCAUUUGUUGGUCAUUGAGUAAUUUCUUAAUUGUUGUUUGGUCAUUUGCAGUGUUUCGUGUCAUUCAGGGGAGGGGGGAAUAUAAUUAGGAUGUGAUGAUGGGGUUAAUUCAGAAGUGUAAUUGGGGCCCUAUCGAUAUGGCGGGGUAAUCGUUACUCGAAUAGGCCAAGUUGCAGUUUGUGUUACUCUCCAUAAACUACAAUCGGGGUUCGGGUGAGGUUUUGCAGUCAUUCGAUGUUGGACUUCUUGAUUACGCAUGUUGUCAAUAUUUACAUCAUUCUGACCCACAUUUAUUGUCUUAUUCAAUAUGGGGAACCGGAUGAGAAUGCUCUUAUUUUGUGUUUUGUAAUUUGCAUGUUGUUUGUUGUUGUUUGUAUUCUGUUGCGAUAGAUGUGUAAUGUGUAAAUUAAACCCCCUCAGCUGUGAUGAUGACAACCGCAUGUGAAGAUUAUGGAUAUUUAUGGCCAUCUCCUCAAUGGUUAGGUAACCCGGACAGCCAACAAGUCCUGGCAACCGGUCGUUGCAACCAUGAGUGGGUGGCCAAAUUUCCAUAAUGUCACCAUUCGGUUCCUAAGUCCCGACUAAAACCCAAACUUCAAAGUGAUGGAAGUUUGAUCAACUUUUUCAUUAUUUUUUUAGAGAUGGAUUCCCAAGACCCUGGACAUAUGUACUUCACCAAUCUCCUAAGUCAAGAUUCUCAACUCGACCCCACUUACGGUGGGCAAAGUGGAACAUCUCCGUUAACCAUUGAUGACUCUCCACCCCCUACCCCCUAACGAGCCUAUCGGCAAUAGGAAAUCAAUGUGGAGUGCAAAUUUCACCCAUGAAGAAAACAAGUUACUUGUCUCCGCAUGGCUAAAUUGUAGCCUUGAUGCCGUCUAGGGAACAGAUCAAAAACACUCUCAACUUUGGAAAAAAAUUUCUGAAUACUUUCAACAAUUUAAAGAAACCAGCCAUGAGUGGACAAUAAAGUCUUUAAUUCAUCGGUUGUCGGUUAUCCAAAAGGCGACAAACAAUUUUUGUGUGAAACUAGCCCAAGUUGAAGGGUUAAAUCAAAGUGGCAUGACCGACCAAGACAAGUUUGACAAGGCCAAAGUUAUGUAUCAAGUGCUAGAAAAAUGCUCCUUCCAAUUCGAGCAUUGUUGGCACCUAUUGAAGGACCAACCUAAGUGGAUUUGGCGAGCCACAAAGGAUGAUCCAAAGCAAAGAAAGACGAUGUCCCUAUCCCCAACCCCAACUCAAUGUUCUGGCGCUACAGUUGAUUCUGUUUUUGGUAUGGAGGCGGAUAAUGUCAUGGAGAAUGAAGUUAUUGAAUUGGACCGACCAAUUAGAAGGAAAACGAAAGGCCCAAGGCAGGUAAGUAAAGGAAAAUUUCCAACUCAGGAAGAUGAAGUAUACUCUUUUGGAAGAGUCACGUGCUCAGGAGAAAGAGUUUUAUCGAAUGAAGGCCGAGAAGAUGGAGUAUGAUAAAGAAAAAGAGGAAAAAAAAUUACGCCUUGAGGAUGAACGACUGAGGUUGGAGGCCGAGAAAAUGGUAAUUGAGAGGGAAAAAGAGCUCAAUAAAAUUCGUAAAGAGGACAAAAGGUUGAGGUUAGAGGCGCAGAAAGUUGAGCUCGCCACGAAAGAUCAAGAUCAGCGCAUUAUGAUGAUGGACGUGAGUGUCAUGCUUGAAAUGCAGCGGCUAUAUUUCCAGCAACUCCAGAGGGAAAUCAUGACUAGAUGCAAUACUUCUAAAGCUUGAAAAUUUGAUUGAUAAUAGUGACAUUUUCAGUUGUAUUUCUUAUUUUUUGUUUUGAACAAUGAUAGAUGUAUAAAAAGUAUGUGUAUGUAUUUUUCAGCA